Molecule: non-coding RNA, 46 nt
Filed under: Trichobilharzia regenti
Lineage: Eukaryota; Metazoa; Platyhelminthes; Trematoda; Strigeidida; Schistosomatidae
Source: RNAcentral
GUAUUGCUGAAGAAUUCCAAAUUAGGACGAAACAGCUGUCCAGUAC